Molecule: unclassified non-coding RNA, 175 nt
Filed under: uncultured fungus
Lineage: Eukaryota; Fungi
Also listed under: 1 other name
Description: sequence contains ITS1, 5.8S rRNA gene
Source: RNAcentral
UGUAUACCUGGUCAAGCGUAAGCUAGGCCAAACCAUGUGUGAAUCAGUGUUCUCUUCCCAGCGGAAGGUCUUGCAACCCUGGGCUCUGCCUGGGCAAGCUUGAUUGACGGCUGGGGUAUUGCCUCGCAAGAGGUGAAUCAUGUUCAAUAGCAGGGAACUCAAAAGUAACAAAUUA